CAAAAAGAGUUUUCACGAACUCGUCAACCCUUUGUGAACAUAUCUGAACAGUUGCUUCGGCGGGCAGCCCCAGGGCGGGGCCGCCGCCUCCCUCUCGGGGGAGGUGCCCGCCGGAAGCCUACCAAACUCUUGCUUUUACUAGCCGUCUGAGUUACCACAAAAAUGAAUCA
RNAcentral lists this unclassified non-coding RNA (170 nucleotides) under uncultured Sordariales. Its description in RNAcentral is "sequence contains ITS1". Lineage: Eukaryota; Fungi; Ascomycota; Sordariomycetes; Sordariales. The record is from RNAcentral.